This 221-nucleotide unclassified non-coding RNA is filed under the name plant metagenome. Its description in RNAcentral is "partial contains small subunit ribosomal RNA, internal transcribed spacer 1, and 5.8S ribosomal RNA". The stretch from base 173 to 221 matches the Rfam family "5.8S ribosomal RNA", at positions 1 to 49 of the family's 154-position model. The record is from RNAcentral.
UUUCCGUAGGUGAACCUGCGGAAGGAUCAUUAACAUUUUUUUUCUUUUUGUUGAAAAAAUUAAAAAAAAAAACCCACUUGUGAACUUUGAAAAAAAAUAAUUUUUUUUUAUUUCAAAAACUCCCAAAAAUUAAAAUUAAAAUUAAAAAAAAAACAAACAAAAAAAAAAACAAAACUUUCAACAACGGAUGUCUUGGCUCUCGCAUCGAUGAAGAACGCAGU